CUCAGAGACCCUUUCCUAGGGAGCCCCUUUUCCUCUCCUACCUCAGAUUCUGACGAAGCCCUGGCCAGGCCCCAUGCAGCUCCUUUCUGUUUCUGGAGAGUGGCUGGGACAGGACUGGAAGCAGAUGAGAGAGGCUAAGGUCCCUAUGAGGACGCAGCUCUUGGGCACCUGGCUGUGCCCUCACUGGACGCUGCCUGCUGUGUCAAGGGGCCACGUACGUGCCCAGGGCUCCUGCCUUGUGUCCCCCUCAGGUGCUGAUACCCGUGUUCGCGCUGGGCCGCGCCCAGGAGCUCUGCAUCCUCCUGGAGACCUUCUGGGAGCGCAUGAACCUGAAGGUGCCCAUCUACUUCUCCACGGGGCUGACUGAGAAGGCCAACCACUACUACAAGCUGUUCAUCCCCUGGACCAACCAGAAGAUCCGCAAGACUUUCGUGCAGAGGAACAUGUUUGAGUUCAAGCACAUCAAGGCCUUCGACCGGGCUUUUGCCGACAACCCAGGACCGAUGGUUGUGUUUGCCACGCCAGGAAUGCUGCACGCUGGGCAGUCCCUGCAGAUCUUCCGGAAAUGGGCCGGAAAUGAAAAGAACAUGGUCAUCAUGCCCGGCUACUGCGUGCAGGGCACCGUCGGCCACAAGAUCCUCAGCGGUCAGCGGAAG
This 656-nucleotide small RNA is filed under the name Pongo abelii (Sumatran orangutan). Its description in RNAcentral is "retained intron". The record is from RNAcentral. Lineage: Eukaryota; Metazoa; Chordata; Mammalia; Primates; Hominidae.